GAGCCUGUGGCUCAGUGAGUAGGGCACUGGUCUCAUAUACCAAGGGUGGUGGUUUGAACCCAGCCACGGCCG
RNAcentral lists this transfer RNA (72 nucleotides) under Otolemur garnettii (small-eared galago). It matches the Rfam family "tRNA". From Rfam's summary of the family: Transfer RNA (tRNA) molecules are approximately 80 nucleotides in length. Their secondary structure includes four short double-helical elements and three loops (D, anti-codon, and T loops). Further hydrogen bonds mediate the characteristic L-shaped molecular structure. tRNAs have two regions of fundamental functional importance: the anti-codon, which is responsible for specific mRNA codon recognition, and the 3' end, to which the tRNAs corresponding amino acid is attached (by aminoacyl-tRNA synthetases). tRNAs cope with the degeneracy of the genetic code in two manners: having more than one tRNA (with a specific anti-codon) for a particular amino acid; and 'wobble' base-pairing, i.e. permitting non-standard base-pairing at the 3rd anti-codon position. Lineage: Eukaryota; Metazoa; Chordata; Mammalia; Primates; Galagidae. The record is from Rfam by way of RNAcentral.